This is an RNA transcript of Triticum dicoccoides, 1869 nucleotides long. RefSeq lists it as uncharacterized. The transcript is spliced from 5 exons. NCBI's taxonomy places the organism in Eukaryota, Viridiplantae, Streptophyta, Magnoliopsida, Poales, Poaceae. The record is from RefSeq and is a predicted model, not a curated record.
UACUUUGCUGGAACUUUGUGUUUCUCCAAGGCCCACCACAUGACAUUCCGCGGUAUCUUAUCAUAGGCCUUCUCCAAGUCAAUGAACACCAUAUGCAAGUCACAGAGAACAGAAAAAGAGUGACAUAAUAGUUCUUGAUUCGGAUGAUGAUGAUGAAAGCACAGGAGCACACAAAUGACUGACGCCUGAGAAAAACAAACAGCUCACACCUGAGAAAAUAAACAGCUGAUACCAUCAGAACAGGCUGGUGCUCAUGAGAGGUAACCGAAGAAAUUGAUGAAGUAAAUGAGACAAUGCAUGCUAGAGAUCAAAACAGUCAAAUUGUUCCAUAUAGUCCAAGUGCAACUUCAAUGAAUCAGUAUCCUUCGGCCAGCUAUCAACCAUCAGCAGUUCUGUUUGAGAGAGUUAUAUUGCAGAAAAGACCUGAGGAGGAACGUAUCCAUGAUCUGGCUGUAUGUUGCUACCCAUGAGGAGAAAAUAGCAGAAACACAAGUUUCCCCUCCACUUCCUAAGGAGAAAAAAGAAAACGAAAAGUUGAUCCAAGGUCCCAAGUAGAUGGGGAUGUUGAAAUUGUGCCAAGAAAAGAAAAAGAAAAAAUGAAGCAAAUCCAGCAGUAUUUGAUUUGCCCUCAGAACCUUACAAUCCUGUGGGGUAAGACGUGCCUAUGGAGGAAGAUGAGCCUAUGGGGGAAGAUGAGCCUAUGGACGAAGAACAUAUACAAGAAAAGGAAAGUGAUGGUCUUGAAGAAUUUUGGAAUGAGUACUCAGUGGCACUUGAAAGCUCUAAGCUCGACACACUUGAAGAGGCAGCCAAUGAGAAAGAGGUGAACAACGUCUGCAAUCAUGAAAUACAGAUUCAUGAAGAUCUGGGCCAUGUAUGCCGUGUCUGCGGUAUGAUUGUGAGAGAAGGGCUGACACAAUCAUUGAUCAUCGAUGGAGAAAGACAUCAAGGUCAAGAUCAUAUUUCUCUGAAAUGCGUUCAAAGGAUUCUGAUGAGAUUGUCACUGGUGAUGUUAGAAUCGUUGAAGAACUGAAUGCGUUAGACAUUGUUAUUCAUCCAAGACAUGAAAAGCAAAUAAGACCACAUCAGUUGGCAGGUUUCCACUUUCUGGUUAAGAAUUUAGUCUCUGACAAACCAGGAGGUUGCAUUCUAGCUCAUGCCCCUGGUUCGGGGAAAACAUUUAUGCUGAAGUCUUGUUUGGCUCUACCAAGGCAUGCGGGGAGGGCAUCUCCCUGGUGGGCACAUCAAGAGUCGUCAUUCUAGAUGUUCACUUGAACCCCUCUGUUACCUGUCAAGCAAUCAGGCCGGCGUACUGGCCUGGGCAGCAAAAGAAAGUGUUCGCUCGUAGCAGCUGAUUCUCUGGAGAACACCUAUGAAACUGCAUUCAAGAAGGUGAUACCAAAGCUUUGGUUUGAAUGGAGCGAGCAGUGCUGCACAUCGGAGGACUUCCAGCUGAACGAAGUUGAUAUCAACAACAGGGGGGAUGAGCUGCGGGACAACAGGACGAUGUGCUAGGACAUCAAGGCUUUUUGUAUGCAAGGUGAAGGCAGGCUGGCUGUUGUACGUACACCAUGUAUAUAUGGCUUUCCGAUUGUUCCAGAUUGUCAUUGUUGUCAAGUAAGGCUCCUCUAGAACCAAAAGAAAGAGGAAACAUACUUGACUUGGUACAUCUUUACAGAUACCUUAUAUUGGUUCUUAUGGGCCUUCUCUUCCUUCAGAUGCAUCAAACACUCUACAUGUUGAAAGUCUCCCAUCCAACUGUACUAGACAGGAGCUUGCACGUAUCCCUUUAUGCAUAUGAUUCUCUUGCUAUUUUUUUUGUCAUUUUGUUCAUAACUAAACAAUAUUUUAUGUUUAUGUCCUUACCAA